This 1672-nucleotide long non-coding RNA is filed under the name Drosophila guanche. Lineage: Eukaryota; Metazoa; Arthropoda; Insecta; Diptera; Drosophilidae. The record is from RNAcentral.
AUCGACUUUGGUGAAAUUUACGUUGUCACAGUUAUGGAACCUAAGUUGUUCAGUUACGUUUCCGUAUCUGAUUGUUCCGCUGCGCAGGUUCAAUGCCGCUCCCGCUCGCGUUAGCAAAUCGGAACCUAUAAUGGCAUCGAACGUAGCUAGAGUGUCUAACAAAAAAAAUGGGGCGUUUUGCCCGAAAAUAUUCAUUAGGCACUUGUUUUUUAUUUCACUGGAGCCAUGUCGCUCUGUGGUUUCCCCCAAUUGGCCUGUUGCCUAAACCUAGACAUCGAUGGGUCAACUUCCAUAGGCUGCACUUUGUUUUGUUGUGGGGCCUCUUUAUCGUUUGGCUUUGGCCAAGGAUCACCCUGUUGCUGCCUAUUUUGAUUACUUUUUCCCACAAAAUUUGGGUUCUUUUCCUGACCUCCACCUUGUCUGGCCUGUGCCCGAUGACCCUGUCUAUUGCCGUCGCCUGAAUGGUUUUUAUCCUCGAUCACCUUUGCAUACGUAGCGGCAAAUGCGCUUCUCUCAAUGCUAUUUUCGGCCUCGCGAGCUAGAGCUAAGGCGGAUGGCAAAUCCUUGGGCUGUGCCGGGAGAACGAACAAUUUUAGCGGCCUCUUGAGGCCUCUUGUUUUGUCCGCAUAUGUGCAAUCGAGUCUAGCUAUGAUUGCAUCAAAAUUGAGCACCGUGUUGUGCGAUGUGAGCAAUGCUCGAGCUGUUCCACAGAUUUUAUUUUUUAUGAUGGCCACAGCCUCGUAGUGUGUCUGACUACCAGAGUAGUUUUUGAAAACUUCGUACGCAUCUAGAGCAGAUUGUCUCCAAGACACAUAUUCCUCAUGAUUCCCGUUGAAAGUUGGUACUGAUUUCAUGAUAUCUAGUUUCACUUCACAUUUUAUACUAGUGUCAAUGGUCACUCUCUUAUAAGUUUCCACCUGAGGGACACCUACAGUUAGAGCGCUCACACUAUUUCUAACUUUUUCAAGUUCCCUGCUAAAUUCUGCACUCAGUCGUCGUUCCUGUUCGACGAGGGCUGUGUUGAUUGCGCCUUCUACUAACGCUUUUAUCAUGGCUGGGUCCAUUUUAAAUUGAUUCUGCACUGUUCUGACUGGUGGAUGGUACAAUAAGUCUAGGCUCUCGUCGCUGUCGUAUUCGACCUUGUUUCUGUAGUCCCAACUCAUAAACGAUCAGCGAAGGGGAGAUCAAAAUUCUCUCACAAGCUUUAUUUUUUCCGAACAGUCACUUACAUGUUAUUUUUCUUGGGGACGUGGAUCCUAAAUCCCGUUGGGCGCCAAUUAACUUUAUGUCGUUUUUGGUCCGAGCUGCGGUAUGCGUUGCGUUGGCUCCGGCGGCAGCGAUCGGGUUCCCGUGGCCCGCUCUUGUAGCGGGGGACGGUGGUUGCGGUUGGCAACUGAGUCUUCUACCGAAGAUUAUGUUGAGAGGGNAACCUACACCGAAACCUAGCCGGCGAGCCGUCCGCGCUCACAAGAGAUAAGAGCCGCCUACGCAUAAACAAGAUCAUGCGAUCGCUGGCGCCCAAUCAGAUAACAGAGCCGCCCGCUGCAACGGCAUCUACUGCAUCGGCGCCCUCCGUAUCGGACUGGAUAAGUUAGGGCGGCACAUGAUAUUUCACAUUUCUUGUGCGCUAAGUUAGGGUGUCCCAUGUUAUUGCUUAUGUGUUAACUUGUAC